This 821-nucleotide ribosomal RNA is filed under the name uncultured bacterium. Its description in RNAcentral is "bacterial SSU rRNA". It matches the Rfam family "Bacterial small subunit ribosomal RNA", at positions 71 to 886 of the family's 1533-position model. The record is from RNAcentral.
AGCACGGGAGCAAUCCUGGUGGCGAGUGGCGAACGGGUGAGUAAUGUAUCGGAACGUACCUUUCAGUGGGGGAUAACGUAGCGAAAGUUACGCUAAUACCGCAUAUUCUGUGAGCAGGAAAGCAGGGGAUCGCAAGACCUUGCGCUGAUUGAGCGGCCGAUAUCAGAUUAGCUAGUUGGUGAGGUAAAGGCUCACCAAGGCGACGAUCUGUAGCGGGUCUGAGAGGAUGAUCCGCCACACUGGAACUGAGACACGGUCCAGACUCCUACGGGAGGCAGCAGUGGGGAAUUUUGGACAAUGGGGGCAACCCUGAUCCAGCCAUGCCGCGUGAGUGAAGAAGGCCUUCGGGUUGUAAAGCUCUUUCAGCCGGGAAGAAAUCACAUGGGUUAAUACCCUGUGUGGAUGACGGUACCGGAAUAAGAAGCACCGGCUAACUACGUGCCAGCAGCCGCGGUAAUACGUAGGGUGCGAGCGUUAAUCGGAAUUACUGGGCGUAAAGCGUGCGCAGGCGGUUUGUUAAGAUAGGCGUGAAAUCCCCGGGCUCAACCUGGGAACUGCGUUUAUGACUGGCAGGCUAGAGUAUGGCAGAGGGGGGUGGAAUUCCACGUGUAGCAGUGAAAUGCGUAGAGAUGUGGAGGAACACCGAUGGCGAAGGCAGCCCCCUGGGCCAAUACUGACGCUCAUGCACGAAAGCGUGGGUAGCAAACAGGAUUAGAUACCCUGGUAGUCCACGCCCUAAACGAUGUCAACUAGGUGUUGGGUGGGUAAAACCAUUUAGUACCGGAGCUAACGCGUGAAGUUGACCGCCUGGGGAGUACGGC